This 254-nucleotide ribosomal RNA is filed under the name uncultured bacterium. Its description in RNAcentral is "partial 16S ribosomal RNA". It matches the Rfam family "Bacterial small subunit ribosomal RNA", at positions 524 to 776 of the family's 1533-position model. The record is from RNAcentral.
UACGAGUGGUGCAAGCGUUAUUCGGAAUUAUUAGGGCGUAAAGGGUGUGCAGACGGUUCAUUAAGUCACUUGUUAAAUUCUUCGGCCUAACUGAAGGUAUGCGAGUGAAACUGAUAAGCUUGAGGAUGGAAGAGAGAAGCGGAAUUCUCGGAGUAGCGGUAAAAUGCGUAGAUCUCGAGAGGAACACCAAUGGCGAAGGCAGCUUCUUGGUCCAUUCCUGACGUUCAUACACGAAAGCGUGGGGAGCAAACAGG